Molecule: unclassified non-coding RNA, 117 nt
Organism: Pongo abelii (Sumatran orangutan)
Lineage: Eukaryota; Metazoa; Chordata; Mammalia; Primates; Hominidae
Rfam family: Metazoan signal recognition particle RNA
About the family: The signal recognition particle (SRP) is a universally conserved ribonucleoprotein.
Source: Ensembl
GCUGGGUGUGGUGGCUCACACCUGUAAUUCCAGCACUUUGGGAGGCUGAGGUGGGUGGAUCACCUGAGGUCAGGAGUUCGAGACCAGCCUGACCAACAUGGAGAAACCCCAUCUCUA